RNAcentral lists this long non-coding RNA (444 nucleotides) under Chelonoidis abingdonii (Abingdon island giant tortoise). RNAcentral's name for it is "lncRNA (ENSCABG00000002553.1)". Lineage: Eukaryota; Metazoa; Chordata; Testudines; Testudinidae. The record is from RNAcentral.
AGUCUGAGCAAAAGGAGGGAAGUUCAGAUGGCUUGGAUAACAAACCUUCUUGUUCUAAGACUACCAGUAAUAAAACAAAGGCAUCCAGCUUGGCAAGCUCAACACCUUCCUCAGAGAAAAGAAAAUGGAAAUCAGAAGAGACAGGAAUCUGUAACAUAAAAGGACAGCUAGAAUUUCAAAGAUUCAAAGUACAUAAAGAUGUUCAAGAGAAGAAACAAAAGCAAAUUUCCUAUGUUCCACAAGGCACUAUUGAAGGGUUCCAAGGAGAGUCUUCAAACGAUAGCAAAACAAUCAGUGCUGUUUUGAUUCAAACUGAGAAGCGAAAAAGGAUAUCUAUACAGUUUAAACAUCAUGAUGUUAAACAUGGAAGAGAGAAAAACCAAAGUGAUUCUGGCGUGGUCCCUACUAGCAGGGAAAUCUGUAAAAAAGACCACUAUUUUGACA